UACGGGAGGCAGCAGUGGGGAAUAUUGCACAAUGGGCGAAAGCCUGAUGCAGCUAUGCCGCGUGUAUGAAGAAGGCCUUAGGGUUGUAAAGUACUUUCAUCGGGGAGGAAAAAACAAAACUAAUAAUUUUAUUUCUUGACGUUACCCGAAAAAGAAGCACCGGCUAACUCCGUGCCAGCAGCCGCGGUAAUACGGAGGGUGCUAGCGUUAAUCAGAAUUACUGGGCGUAAAGAGCACGUAGGUGGUUUUUUUAAGUCAGAUGUGAAAUCCCCUGGGCUUAACCUAGGAACUGCAUUUUGAAACUGAAAUACUAGAGUAUCGUAGAGGGAGGUAGAAUUCUAGGUGUAGCGGUGAAAUGCGUAGAUAUCUGGAGGAAUACCUGUGGCGAAAGCGGCCUCCUAAACGAAUACUGACACUGAGGUGCGAAAGCGUUGGGGAGCAAACAGGGAUUUAGAUACC
Molecule: ribosomal RNA, 459 nt
Filed under: uncultured bacterium
Lineage: Bacteria
Description: bacterial SSU rRNA
Rfam family: Bacterial small subunit ribosomal RNA
Source: RNAcentral